This is a small nucleolar RNA of Osmerus eperlanus (European smelt), 231 nucleotides long. RefSeq annotates it as small nucleolar RNA SNORA53. The record is from RefSeq and is a predicted model, not a curated record. Lineage: Eukaryota; Metazoa; Chordata; Actinopteri; Osmeriformes; Osmeridae. The transcript has a single exon.
UGCACCCCCCAGAUCCACCUCUGGGGGGUGCUCUUGUGCUGCUGUAGCUGUUCUGUUUUUCUUGGUGUUGCAGCUGUAGCCCAGAUGCCCUCAGUAGCUUGAUGGCUGUACAGUUGGGGUUGCUUGAGUCAUUGGCGUGUGAGAAUAGUCUACCUGGCUUCUCAGCCCAUACACUGCACUGGCCCUUUACUGGACUUUUAACCAGUGCAGGCAGGCUGGAGAAAAAACAUA